UACGUAGGGCGCAAGCGUUGUCCGGAAUUAUUGGGCGUAAAGAGCUCGUAGGCGGUCUGUCGCGUCGGCUGUGAAAACCCGGAGCUCAACUCCGGGCCUGCAGUCGAUACGGGCAGACUGGAGUUCGGCAGGGGAGACUGGAAUUCCUGGUGUAACGGUGAAAUGCGCAGAUAUCAGGAAGAACACCAAUGGCGAAGGCAGCUCUCUGGGACGGUACUGACGCUGAGACGCGAAAGCGUGGGGAGCGAACAGG
Molecule: ribosomal RNA, 253 nt
Filed under: uncultured bacterium
Lineage: Bacteria
Description: partial 16S ribosomal RNA
Rfam family: Bacterial small subunit ribosomal RNA
Source: RNAcentral